This 253-nucleotide ribosomal RNA is filed under the name uncultured bacterium. RNAcentral's name for it is "partial 16S ribosomal RNA". It matches the Rfam family "Bacterial small subunit ribosomal RNA", at positions 524 to 776 of the family's 1533-position model. The record is from RNAcentral.
UACGUAGGGGGCUAGCGUUGUUCGGAAUUACUGGGCGUAAAGGGCGCGUAGGCGGCACUGUUAGUCAGGCGUGAAAUUCCUGGGCUCAACCUGGGGACUGCGCUUGAUACGGCAGAGCUAGAGGAUGGAAGAGGCUCGCGGAAUUCCCAGUGUAGAGGUGAAAUUCGUAGAUAUUGGGAAGAACACCGGUGGCGAAGGCGGCGAGCUGGUCCAUUACUGACGCUGAGGCGCGACAGCGUGGGGAGCAAACAGG